This is a long non-coding RNA of Felis catus (domestic cat), 10515 nucleotides long. RefSeq lists it as uncharacterized. The transcript is spliced from 2 exons. The record is from RefSeq and is a predicted model, not a curated record. Lineage: Eukaryota; Metazoa; Chordata; Mammalia; Carnivora; Felidae.
UGUGUCUCCCUCUCUCUCUCUCUCUCUGCCCCUUCCCUGCUUGUGCUCUCUCUCUCUCAAAAAUAACAUUAAAAAAAAAAAAAACUUAAAAAGUGUAUGUUCUCAGUGUCGUGCAGCCACCGCCUCGUGUAGCCAAGUCCCGUGCAUUUCGCACCCCCCACUCCCCCCACAUCCGCCCCCUGGGUUUGUCUGUUGGGUUUGGCCAGAAUCCUACAACCUGGCCUCUCGUCCGUCUGUGGCUUGUUUCGCUCAGCAUCUGAAAUUCACCCACGCUGUAGCAGCUGUCAGUACGUCAUCCCUAUUUAUGACCAAAUAACACCCCAUCGUGUGCACGGAUCAUGUUUUGUGUGUCCUUUCGACAGCUGAUGGACGUUUGGGUUGUUUCCAUUUCUUAUCUGUUAGGAAUUGUGCUGCCAUGAACAUGUGUGUCCAAGUAUUUUGUUUAAAGGCCCGUUUUUAAUUCUUUGGGUUAUAUGCACACGAGUGAAAUUGCUGGGUCGUGUGGUCAUUGUUUCAUUUUUUGAGGAGCCCCUAAAUUGUUCCACAGUGGUUGUGCCGUUGCACAUUCCCACCAGCUGUGCACAGAGACUCUGGUUUCUCCAGGUCCUUGUCCACACUGUUGUUGGGAGGGGGGGAGGGGGGGCUCUGUUUUGCUUCAUGAUCAUGGUGGGAGGAAGUGGUUUUGAUUUGCAUUUCCCUGAUGACAGUGAUGUUGAGCAUCUUUUUAUGUGCUUUUUGGUCAUUUGUGUGUCUUGUUUGGAGAAACGCCGACCCAAGUUCUUCGCCCAUUUUUAAAUUGGGUUGUCUUCUGUUGUCCAGUUGUAGGAGUUCUUCGUGUUUUCUAGAUCCGUGAUUUUUUUCCCAUUCUGUGGAGUAUCUUUUCCCUUUCUUGCUAAUGACUUUUAGUGCAUAUUUUAAGUUUUGAUGAAGUUUAUCUUUUUUUUUUCUUUUGUUGUACCUUUGGUGGCACAUAAUAAGACCCCCAUUACCAAAUCCAAGAUCAUGAAGUUUUACCCCUAUCUUUUCUCCUGAGAAUUCUAUUGGUUUUAGCUGUUAUUCUGGUAAAUGACGUUCAAUGAUCCAUUUGGAGUUUUCAUACAUGGUGUGAGGUAGGGAUCCGGCGUCCUGUUUUUAAAUGUGGAUACCCCGUUUGUUGAAGAGACAUGGUCUCCCAUUGAAUGGUCUUGGCGCUCUUGUUGAAGAUCAGUUGUCUGUAGGUAUAAGUAUUCAUUUCUGGACUCCGUAUUACUGGUCUCUAUAUCCCUCCUUAUGCCAGUACCACGCUAUUUUGAUGAUUAUGGCUUUAUAGUAAGUUUUGAAAUCAGGAACUAACUGGAGCCCUCCAGCUUUGUUCUUUUUCAGUAUUUUGGAAAUCAUGAUAUAUCUUGAUAUAGUUUUCUUCAUGGUUCUUGUGCUUGGAAUUCGUUGAGCUUCUUGGAUUCCAGUAUUUGAUUAGAAAUAGUUCCAGGGAACAGGGAAGGAAAUCGCCAGUGAAACAAUUCACAAAGCUGUCCCAGAACAAAAGGUUGAGAGGGUCCACCCGCAAGGGACAGGGAAAGACCCACCCACACAGGGGACAUCACUGUGCAAUGCUAGAUCACCAAGGAUCCAAAAGCAGCUUCCGGAGGUGGGUGGGGAAACCCAGGUUACCCAGAGCCUCGGGAAUGAGAAAAGCGUCUGACUUGAUCUCUAGCAGGUGGAGGCUGGGAGGCGAGGGGGCAGAGCCUGAAAACAUCUGGAACGGGAAGGCAGGCAGGCCACGCUCUCCUGUAACAGCAAACUGGCCCCCUGGCCCCAGAAAGCACUGGAAGAUGUGCUCCGCCCGAGAGGAUCCUGAAGGGCACCCCCAGAACAGUGGGAAUGCAGGUCCCUGGCAAAGGGCUGGGCAGCCAUGGGAUGCAGCAGGACAGAGGGCUCCCGGCGAUGCUCAGAGGGGGAGGGGACGUCACAGGCCGAUAAACACUCGAGUCCCAGGCCUGGUAGGUAGAAAGUGGGGUUACAUUAGUACCUAGCAAACGCCACAAAAAGACUGUGUGAAUGAAGGCUGGACAGCUGACCCUUGAGCAGCACAGAGGUCAGGGAUGCCAGCCCUUCUCCCCCUGCAGUAGAAAUUCUGUCGCUUUUGUUCCUCAGAAACUUAACCGUGGGCAGCCUCCUACUGCCCAGUUGGUGCCCUCCUCCUGCAUCACUUGCUGGUGAUGCGUUAAAUACGCUGUAUUCUUAUGCGUAUUCUGUUGGGCACACAAAUACCGUAAAUAUUGUGUUCUUACAGCAGACUAAGCUAGAGAGAGGAAGACGCUGGAACAGCAGGAAGAAAAGAUACAUUUACGGUAUUUACAGUACUAGACUGUGGAGAAACAUCCACGCGUGAGUGGCUCUGCGCAGUUUAAACCUGUGUCCACGGGUCGGCUGUGGAAGAAAUUCAAUCACAGUGCAGGAUGCAACUAAGCUAGGAGGGAAGGCGGCUUAAUUAAGGUCAUGAAAGCCUGAACAUCAAUCUGUCCAGAAGUUAUAAACUACAUAGGAAGGACAGUUGUACUGGGGGGCAGGGCACGUAAGCUUCACCUUCCGACGUCACCAGUUAAAUGAGCAGCACCACGAAGGCUUUGGAAAUCCGUGGGCAGAUCCCAUGAGCGGCCGCUGGAGGCACCGAGCCUCUGGCUGGCCAGGCAGGCCCUGGGACCCGCUCUUUUCGUGCUAAGUCACCAGCUAGAACUGUUUGACUCGUAUCUGUGCAUAAGUGGUUAAAAAAAGUAAUCUUUUUACACAAAGCUGGUAAAUCCAGUUUCUGGACCAAAGGGAAAAUAUUUUGGGCGUGUUUCUGAACCUCAACAGUGGCCGUAUUAGGCCUCUGUGGGCCAAUGAGCGGGAGGAGAAGGCAGCCCUGUCUGGUGGCCCGUUCUGAAGGAUCACGAGAUUCCCGGACGGGCCAGUUUACUUUCCCCCCAACAGUGCUGGUAUUGAACGGUUUUUAACACGACCCUUUCAUAGCCUGGUCCCCUACACCACGGAGUGGACCGUAUGCCGAUGCUCGGCGUGGAGCCCAGAGCCUCCCCUCCGCCGUCCGCCCCAGCCCGGGCCUGACUUGGGGUCUGCACCGGAAGGCUGGUGGGAAUAAACGUCCUUGGGGGCCCCUCCACCUUGUCAGGCGCCCGCCCACCCCCGCUGCCUACUUGGUGGCAAAAGACUGUGGCCCCAAGGGGCCUGCUCCCUCCCUCCUUCCCAGCCCCAGGAGCAGACCCGGGGGGCAGUGCCCGUGGCCGCAGGCGGUGGUCUUGGGGUAACUUUAUGAGCUUCCCAGCUGGGCGGGGCCGCGGUGGCAGCAGCAGGGGUGGGCUCAGGAGCUCCCGCCUGCAUGUCCCUGGCCGUCCCCGCCGUCACCUUCAGACGCUGCUCCUCUGGGGCCGUCCCCCGUGGAGCAGCGGGCCUUCCACAACAAGCCUCCCGUUGGCUGGCAUGCCUCCCCCCCGCCCCCAUCCCCACAUCCUCCGGCACAGAACAGCCCGGGUGCCGCUGGACACAGUUCCCUUGUCGUCCACACCUUGUCUCUAAGAGGAAGGCUCCUACCUGCAACCCUGGGCCUGGGCAGGGAGGGGCCACGCUCAGCGGGGCUGUGGCAGGAAGCCCCUCGCGCCGGGCACGGCCGGCGGGGGUCAGCACAGGUGGCUGCCGUGCCGACUGGACCAGACUCGGGCACGGCCACGCCUGGCUGCAGGGAAGCUGGCGUAUGGGGUCUGUAGUCGGCUGCGGGCCCAGCUUAAAAUGGCAGUGGGGGCGGCUAGUCCUAAGGAGAAAGAAAAAUCAAACGUGAAUGCUGACCCCCUCCCCCCCCCCCCCCGAGGGCUCGCUUUCUGCUGGAACCCCCGAAGUGACAGACGUGCCUCGGACACUACUGUCCCGGCGAGCGAGCCGAUGGAGCUCCUCGGGUCCAAACCCGGAAUCCAGCCCCGCACGGCCGGCAGGCCCCUGCCUCCCACGGUCAUUCCGGGCCGUGCCCAGCAGGCGUGGUUCGCCUGGUCUCUGGUGUCUCUCCCGGUGGGAGACAGAGGCCGCCUUCCGAGCUGCAGACCAGGAAGCACCGAUCGCUCUCCUGUAGCCGCUUUGCAGCCACGGUGUGGGCACCUGACGAGCUUGGCGUCGGACGCACCACCCGGAGCCCCUGCAGGACCUGGGCCGGUGCGUGGGGGCAGCGCAGCCACAUCCACGGGUGGGGGCGGCCGAGCGCCUUCCGCCCCGUCCCUGGUGCGACCGGCCGUGGACUGGCAGCCAGCCUGAGCCGGGUCGUCCGGCUUCGGCACCGCCGGAGUCUGGCCUUCCGGGCGGUUUCCUUCUUGCUGAAUGAGCCACGACUGCGUCUCUUCCAGCAAGAAGCCCGGAGAGGGGACGUUUCCCCCACGGCCGCCUGGGGGUGGCCGUAUUCUCGGCCCUUCUGUCACAGCUGGGUGCACGCCGGAUUCCCGGAGCCCAGCCUGUGGGAGGAGGGGCCGGCUGUCCUCCACGACGGCCCGGCAGGUGCUGGAAAUAGCCUUCCGGGGUUUUGUUGCCUUGGCUUAAGAUACCGUCAGUGACACUUCACUCCCCGGGAGGCUGGCCUGACGGCUUGCCUUCUCAUGUUCUCAGGGACAUAGGCCAAAAGCAAGCUUCUUCCUGAUCUACUGGAUUAGUGACGAUCAGGGGGAGAAAAGGCCCAUGGUGGGGAGUGCUGGCCACCGCUGACCCCUAAGUGGGCAGGUAUCUCCCCCUGUCCCGGGCAUGGGCCUCUGCCACUCCCGGCAGGGGGACAUCGGAGCAGCCUUGGGGGGGGUGGGGGAGGGGGCGGCCUGACAGCACAGAGACACUAACAGCUCGUUCUGCGCCCAGCAGACGUUACCAAGCACCCCCUUCACACCAGACACGGCUCCAGGCCCUGGAAUCACAAAGGCCUCCACACCGGACCCCCGGUGGGUGGGAUCAAGGACCGACUCCUGCCGCCAAGAGAUUGGCAGGUGAAACGAGUGCGGUCUGUCCCCGCGGCAGAAUAUUACCCAGCCUUAAGAGGGAAGAUGUUCUGACACACGAUAUGGGGACGAACCUUGAGGACACUGUGCUCCAUGAAGUAAACCAGUCGCGGAAGUCACACUCACAGAGGCACCUAGAAGGGUCAGACCCAUAAACACGAAAAGUAGAACGGGGGCCGUCAGGGGCCAAGGGAGACGGAUGGCGAGUGGGCGUAUUUAAUGGGGACUGAGUUUCAGUUUGGGGAAAACGGAAAGUUCUGGAGAUGGACGGUGGGGAUGGGUUGCACGACAACGUGAACGUACCUAAUGCCACAGAACUGUAUGCUUAAAAAUUUAGUUCAGAUGGUGGAUUUAUGUUCCGUAUAUUUUACUACAAUGACAGAAGAGAAAAACCAGGGAAAGGGCUGCAGAGAGCGGAGAAGCAGGUUGAGCCGAUGCCCACCCAAAGGGGACAUUUGAGACUAGAAAGUCGUAUGAGGCCGCCUAGCAGCAGAUGGCAGGAGCACUUUUGCCUGGUCACGGACAGACCGCCUCCCCAGAGGCCGGCUUUGGUUAUUCGGGUCAGCUCGCUGGUCUGGAGGUCACGCGUGACAAGUCCCACCCAAAGACACGUGUGCGCUAAGGCUCUGCACUGGGUGAGUCCCCGGCUUCCAAGGUCCCGGCGACCGUGUCCGGGCUGUUGGCUCUUACAGCAGAGGCCACGGGGUCAGGAGAACGGAGGAGCUUUACAAGCCAGCGGGCACGGCCAGGGUGGCCUGCCGAUCCCUCUUAACCCUUUACCGGAACCACCGGGAGAGCGGGGAGAGGAGGGAGGCCUGGCCCGCUGACCGGGCAGGGUGAGGCAGACGCCAGCAGGCGAUGCCCCAUCAGGGCACCACCCACCCUGGCGCCCGCCGGGGUCCCCGAAAGCUGGCCUUACGGCGGGAGGCCCGCUCUGGCUGCGCGGCGUGUCCCCCGGCUACCCGGGCAGGGUGCUCGUGGGCGCUCCACCAGGGCACACGUUCACCGGUGAGCAGGGACCCUGCGUGCUGCCUGGUGGGCGAGCUCGGCGGGCAGUGUGUGUGCAAGCUGAUGGCCUCAGGACCGUUUGAGCCGUCUAGAUUUUUUUAAUUUAAAAUUAAGUGAGAAUUUAACGGACAGUAACAAAUACGUGCCAGGUAUUUCUAAUUUAAUGAAUAAAAUCAAAAGUUGCGUUAAAAAAUUUUUUUUUAACAUUUAUUCAUUUUUGAGAAAGAGACAGCAUGAGUGGGGGAGGGGCAGAGAGAGAGGGAGACACAGACUCCGAAGCAGGCUCCAGGCUCCGAGCUGUCAGCAGAGAGCCCGACACGGGGCUCGAACUCAUGAACCGCGAGACCGUGACCUGAGCCGAAGUCGCACACCUUACUGAGCCACCGAGGCGACCCAAAAGUUGCAUUUUGAAACAGGUAUUUACUCCACUAAAAGCUUAUACCUUUAAGGAAAGGCAAAGGCAGAUGAACCACGUGUGAUGACCCUGAGAGACAGUCCAAGGCCACUGACAAGACGGGAGGACUGGGGGGCACAGGGACGGGAGGCUGCUGGAAACCGCGGAGGCCGUGGUCAGACACUCUGGGUGACCCAGUUCUGACGUCACGGCGGGAACAAAACCUGGCCCAGGCUCAGAAGGGUCUCACUCAAUGGCCAACGGCCCAGGAGAGCACGCGGGGCUGGAAAUACCGCUGAGGCCACUGGGGAAAACUAAGCAGCCACCAGGCCCCAACACUGCAGAAAACAAACACUCCCGGGCAAAGAUUCAGGAUCCAAACGGUUACAGGACGUCCACUCGACGGGCAGCGAACCGUGAGACAACCUCUCCAAUCCCAAGUAAGGAUGGUUUGCAAGCCGCGUUUUCCCCUUCCGGAUCCCGGCGUUAACUGCUGGGCCUCCCGAGAGCUGGUGACGGACCGCACACGCGGGGUUUGGACAAGAUUUGGACAAGGCCCCGCGUCCCUGCGUCCCUCCACCCCGGGCACCCGGCUUGGGAUGUGCGUGUCCUGACAGCCUGACAGAGCGGCGGGAUGCACAGGCCUGCCUCUGCCUCCCUCCCCUCCCCUCCGACCUGUCUUCCAGCCUCACUGUCCGUCCUGUUGCCACCCUGCUCCCACUCCAGGCGGAGAGGCCCCGAGAACGUCGGCCUGACAACACGGGCAGCGGGUGACCCACUGCAUCCUAUGUCUCCUCGCGCUCAGAGCUGCGGCUGCGGGGCUACCCGGUGACUGGAUCCAAAGAGGGACAAACCCCUUCGGGGCGGCCCCCCUUCAGCAGAGCACCGGGAGGGGAAAGACGACAGCCCGGACAUUAGGGGCCCGCCCCCCACCAAGAGGCCGUGUUCGCUCACAGGGGUGCUGGGGGCAGGGCGGGGCCCGGGGAGACCCCCACCCGCCAGCCCGACCCUUCUCUCACAGGGAGCAAAGGCCCUAAUCCACGAGGGGAGGAGCUGCCGCCGCCCCCUGAAGGCCCUACCUCUGGCCCGAGGCCCCCUGCCUCCCAAGACUGUUCCCCGACGGAAGGCAACCUGCCGCAGAGGCGUGAGUGGGCAGGGCUGAGAAGGGGGGCCCUGCGCCCCGGGACGUGCCCGCAGCACAGGCUGAACCCGGAGGGCCCGGGCCUCCACCUCCGGCCUCGCCCGGGCUGGUGCUGGGGACAGGGGCAGGGCCUCGCCGGCUGGAGGGACGUGGGGGUAAAAGGCUGCCACAGAACUGGACUCCCCCUGUCCCGCACGGACGACCUGACAGAGGGGGAGGCCCAUUCCCGGGCCCCGAGGACGACCCGCCCUGGUCCCCCUGCCCCUCCACCGCCACGCGGCCUUCCGUCCGAGUCAGGAGGCCCGACCCCCCUGUCAACCGAGCCAGACCCGAGAACACCUGCUUGCCACGCGCACCUGGCUCAUCCGCCUACAGCCCUGCACCCACCACCUCUCACCUCUCCCCGGCCCGGGCGCCCAGGAUGUCUCCGCAGAGGCCCUCAGGGGACCCUGUCGCGGCCCCCCGGCUGGGCCUGUGGGACGGCGCACACCGGGAGGACCCCGCGACGGCGGUCCCGGUGAGGAGGGUCCUACCCCCAGGCCACAGGCCCCCAUUUCCGAGACAAAGCAGCUUCAAGCCCUAGAUCCCUGACUGUGGUGAGCCACCGGCGGGCCGAGCAGUGUCACACUGGCCCUUCAGGGACCUGCCCACGACGUCCCCUGCCCUGCUCUGGGUUGCCAGGCCUCUUCGUUUUGACUUGCAGGACUCUCCCCUCAAACGUAAACGCGGACUCCCCGCUGGCUGUCGAUGUUAGAAAAGAAAAACACUUCUCUCAGAUUCCCACCUGCUCGGUGCACAGCGUCCUUCCCUGACACAAAUGCUUCCUCUGGAUCCGGCCAAACCCACUGGGCCGUUUACGUGUCUGGGGUCUUAAAAGGCUUCCCACGAGGUGAGAAAGACGCCCCUCAUCAUGUCCCACUGACCCAGCGCCGUCCCCCCGCGGCCCCCGGACCGCUGGCGUCGGCCCUCCCCCCACUUUUCUCCACCUGCUCUGAUCAGCGACCUCCUGGGGGCCCAGCCCAUCGUCCUCCACACACUCAACUUCUCCUUCUAGAAACACUCCUUCCGUGGCUGCUCUGCCUCCAGCUCCAGCCGUGUCUAACAGAACUCUGGUUUCGAGGGCUCAGGUCUACACUGGCAGCGAGCGUAAACGGUUACAGGCCUCACCGCUUCUUUCUGACACGACCGCUGUGUUAGUAUCAGACGAAACUGAGGUGACGUGAAGCAAAAUAUUUUAAAACGUACCUGAUUUCUUUCUACACGCCAUUCUCUGAAAACGCCUAAGCAACUAAAGCCAUCGACAUCUUUAAAACGUGCCUUUUCAACCACACUGCAACUUAAGAACUCCUCGUUCAUAUUAAAGUCACCACCGGCUUUUGCAGGCUGACGUCCUGGGUUCAUUUAAAUGACGAUGCGGGACGCGGAACCACCUGUGCGAGAUCCGCCUCCUAAAUGCCGUCUGCGUGGAAAAUACCGGUUAGUCCAGUGCGCCACCCCAGGCAGGCCUUAGCUGAGAGCAGGUGGGCCGCCUCCUUGGGCGGCCAGGCCUGGGCCUGGGGACAGGGGGCGGGACCAGGCCGGUGGGCGCCCCGGAAGGCAGCCCCGGGCCCGCCGCCUGCCUGGGGUCCUCUGUCUCCUGGUCCCACGUGCCUCGACGCUCUGCUCUGCAGCUGUGCAAACUCGAGCGUAAAAACGGUUCGGAGAUCUUAGGUCUUAGCGAAGACGGCAGGGCCUGUUGUGAAAGGGCAAAAAUAACUGCCACUGAAAACUGCUUCUCGGAAUGUCUAGAGCACAGCACUCGGGCCAAACACCAAACGCAGAACGUAAUGACCUCUGCAGAGAAUAACCGAAUGCAAACGUUGAUCCGAACAGGUUUCUGAUUUUCAGGGUUCGCCACGUCAUCACUCAUUUACUCAUCUCUCCAGACAGACGGAUAGAUUUUAUUAGUUAUAACAUUUUCGACAGGAGGGGAGGUGGGUGGGGGGAGGGGCUAGAUGGGUGACGGGCGUUAAGGAGGCACCUGUUGGCAUGAGCACCGGGUUUCGUAUGGAAGCGAUGAACCACUGGGUUCUCUUCCUGAGGCCAAGUCUGCAGAGAAUGUUAACUAACUUGGAUUUAAAUAAAACCUCGGAAGAAAAUAAAUGUUAAUUUUUGAGCUAGAAUAAACCUUAUAAACCAAUUUCUUCCUUUUACCAACAAAGCCCUUGAACCCUCAAGGCGCCAAGGACCGGGCCAAGGUCUCACCUGGUUAACAACUCGUGUCCGCCUCUCACCUCUGACCUAGUGGAGCUGGAGAGAGCACACAGGGGCUCCAUUUGCCAUCAAAUUGCUCAGAACGUUUCCUAAAACAACAGACUUCAGAGCCGGCUGGUCGAGUCACCCGCAAGGCUUGCAAUUUCAGAUGCACUUUUUAAAAAUACUCGAGUCUGCUGACCUUAGCCUCUGAGCAUAAACAGCGUGGGGGGAGUUCCAACACACUGGCCUACGAAGAAGAAACCUCGCUGAAAGGCCUUAACGUGGCGCUCCGACGUGUCCGGGAGCGGCCGUGGGUCAUUCCACAACACGCGCUAUGAUAGGCAAUAUGUCACCGACGAAGCAUUUUCCCAUUAGUGUCAAAAUAGUUACGUUUAUGAUAAACCACAACAAAAAACAAACAAAAGCUUUCCGAUUCUUUCCCGGAAUGCCAACAACUAAUGGAAGUGAGCAGCUGAAGAAGAUUCCAGAAAAUGCAAAUGGACCUGAGUGCUCCACCAGUGCAAUCCUCCUUUUCCAACAACGUGCAGGGGUCACUACGAGCCCCGCGUCACCAGCGAAACCCGUCAACAGUUUGAGUGUUUCCUUAAAAUGGAAAAACAGCCCACGGUGCCACCAGCUUUACAAAAUAACACAUCCACGAAGCAUGUUUCUAUUUUUAAUUUUUUUGCUUUGAUAAAUCAAUUGCUUCACAAAAAUCCCCUUUCGAGACAACAAUCCAA